Molecule: ribosomal RNA, 253 nt
Filed under: uncultured bacterium
Lineage: Bacteria
Description: partial 16S ribosomal RNA
Rfam family: Bacterial small subunit ribosomal RNA
Source: RNAcentral
UACAGAGGGUGCGAGCGUUAAUCGGAAUUACUGGGCGUAAAGCGCGCGUAGGCGGCUUUGCAAGUCGGGUGUGAAAUCCCCAGGCUUAACCUGGGAACUGCAUUCGAGACUGCAUUGCUAGAGUAUGGGAGAGGGAAGUGGAAUUUCCGGUGUAGCGGUGAAAUGUGUAGAGAUCGGGAGGAACACCGGUGGCGAAGGCGGGUCUCUGGGCAAUUCCUGACGCUGAGGCGCGAAAGCGUGGGGAGCAAACGGG